Molecule: ribosomal RNA, 250 nt
Filed under: uncultured bacterium
Lineage: Bacteria
Description: partial 16S ribosomal RNA
Rfam family: Bacterial small subunit ribosomal RNA
Source: RNAcentral
UACGGGGGGGGCAAGCGUUGUUCGGAAUUACUGGGCGUAAAGGGUUCGUAGGUGGCCUGCUAAGUCAGACGUGAAAUCCCUCAGCUCAACUGGGGAACUGCGUCUGAGACUGGCGGGCUCGAGUGCAGGAGAGGAACGCGGAAUUCCAGGUGUAGCGGUGAAAUGCGUAGAUAUCUGGAGGAACACCGGUGGCGAAGGCGGCGUUCUGGACUGUUACUGACACUGAGGAACGAAAGCCAGGGGAGCAAAC